UCUGGGACAAGCCCUGGAAACGGGGUCUAAUACCGGAUAACACUCUGUCCCGCAUGGGACGGGGUUGAAAGCUCCGGCGGUGAAGGAUGAGCCCGCGGCCUAUCAGCUUGUUGGUGGGGUGAUGGCCUACCAAGGCGACGACGGGUAGCCGGCCUGAGAGGGCGACCGGCCACACUGGGACUGAGACACGGCCCAGACUCCUACGGGAGGCAGCAGUGGGGAAUAUUGCACAAUGGGCGAAAGCCUGAUGCAGCGACGCCGCGUGAGGGAUGACGGCCUUCGGGUUGUAAACCUCUUUCAGCAGGGAAGAAGCGAAAGUGACGGUACCUGCAGAAGAAGCGCCGGCUAACUACGUGCCAGCAGCCGCGGUAAUACGUAGGGCGCAAGCGUUGUCCGGAAUUAUUGGGCGUAAAGAGCUCGUAGGCGGCUUGUUGCGUCGGUUGUGAAAGCCCGGGGCUUAACCCCGGGUCUGCAGUCGAUACGGGCAGGCUAGAGUGUGGUAGGGGAGAUCGGAAUUCCUGGUGUAGCGGUGAAAUGCGCAGAUAUCAGGAGGAACACCGGUGGCGAAGGCGGAUCUCUGGGCCAUUACUGACGCUGAGGAGCGAAAGCGUGGGGAGCGAACAGGAUUAGAUACCCUGGUAGUCCACGCCGUAAACGUUGGGAACUAGGUGUUGGCGACAUUCCACGUCGUCGGUGCCGCAGCUAACGCAUUAAGUUCCCCGCCUGG
RNAcentral lists this ribosomal RNA (727 nucleotides) under Streptomyces sp. Its description in RNAcentral is "bacterial SSU rRNA". It matches the Rfam family "Bacterial small subunit ribosomal RNA", at positions 137 to 876 of the family's 1533-position model. Lineage: Bacteria; Bacillati; Actinomycetota; Actinomycetes; Kitasatosporales; Streptomycetaceae. The record is from RNAcentral.